Molecule: non-coding RNA, 30 nt
Filed under: Mus musculus (house mouse)
Lineage: Eukaryota; Metazoa; Chordata; Mammalia; Rodentia; Muridae
Source: RNAcentral
UGUAAAUGUGCCCUGCAAAUGAGCAAUGCC